Molecule: unclassified non-coding RNA, 859 nt
Filed under: uncultured fungus
Lineage: Eukaryota; Fungi
Description: sequence contains 18S rRNA gene, ITS1, 5.8S rRNA gene, ITS2, 28S rRNA gene
Source: RNAcentral
CCGUUGCGGAAGCGCCAAUCAAAUACAUCCCGAUGAGGAACUGGGCUGGAUCGCCUGAUGGCGGGAACAGAAUGGUGCCGCGAGUCGCCCGGACCAACCCUGCCGCGCCGAUGCCGAUGAACACACUGCUGCGCGGUGCAUCGAUCAACCCGGCCAGGUGAUUGCCGGGAUUGCCGUCCCGGUUGGGCGCGGAGCAGUCAGUGGUCUUCAGCGUUGCAUUUGAAGCGCGCGCUCCUGCAUCGGGCUCAGAGUUCUUUAAUGCGGAUGUUGCGAAACUGUACGACCUCGGUGUGGCACUGAAGCCCUAUGAAGCCUUCAUCCCGUUUUGUCUUGCCCAGACUCGGCGCGUUUGCAGUCAACAGGUUCGGGAACUCUCCCUUGGAAACUGUCAGCCCGUUCAGCCUGACUUCGAUGCUUGUGCCUUGCAGCGUGAUCUCGCAGCUAUUCCAGAAGGUGGUUCGGCCUGAACCGCGGGGGUGCACAACCUUUGCGGCCCACAGUCGGGCGGGGAAUACCUCGUAAACCGCGCCCGUCUUGUGCAAAGGGGAGCCGUAAACAUUGGUGCCGGCGUCGUACCCGUGUUCGUCGAUCUGCACUUCGAUCGUCGAGUCAUAGAAGCCGCCGUCGAGAACGAGUGGCGCGGUGGGCAUGCGCAGGAAGAUGCCUGAAUUGGCGGCAAUGUCGUACGCCUUCCAGUCGAGUUUCAGGAUGAAAUCCUUGAACGUCUUGACCGAAUACCGCAGCACGCCCAAAGCGGGUGCUGGGUUGUCCACGCCGGCGCCGAGCACCGGAUGAUCCGGAUCGGUCACAUCGAAAAAGUUCGCGCUGCCGCCCGCUACGACCUGCCAGCCAUCAGUGG